Molecule: ribosomal RNA, 253 nt
Filed under: uncultured bacterium
Lineage: Bacteria
Description: partial 16S ribosomal RNA
Rfam family: Bacterial small subunit ribosomal RNA
Source: RNAcentral
UACGUAGGGUGCGAGCGUUAAUCGGAAUUACUGGGCGUAAAGCGUGCGCAGGCGGUUUUGUAAGCCAGAUGUGAAAGCCCCGGGCUUAACCUGGGAAUGGCAUUUGGGACUGCAAGGCUUGAGUUUGGCAGAGGAGACUGGAAUUCCUGGUGUAGCAGUGAAAUGCGUAGAUAUCAGGAGGAAUACCGAUGGCGAAGGCAGGUCUCUGGGCUAUAACUGACGCUCAUGCACGAAAGCGUGGGGAGCAAACAGG